UGAAAAUACAACAAAUGAUUUCAUAAAAACCAUAACUCACUAAACGUGUUUCUUGAACAUAUCAUGUAGCAUUAUUAAGUCUGAUUUCUACCAAGGAUUAUUUUGGUCUACUGAUUUUACAAGUUUCAUGCCCCCUCACAUGAACAUUUUUUCAGUUAGAAAUCUGGCUAAGCAACAUCAUUGGUGAAACAUGGGCCCAUUUUGUCCAUAUUAGCACUCAAGCAAGGAAAACCAGCCAAAUGCAUUUGAUUAGAGAACAAAGUCCAUUCAGACACUUUAUUAUUAAAAAAAUUAAAAUUUAUGAUGCAGAAACAGCAAAAUUGGAAAAAUGCAAAUACAAUUGUGUAAUUAUCCCUACAUCUAACAACAGAUAAGUGCAUAAAACAAAAAUUUAACCACCAAAGAGAGAAAUAAUAUAAACAUUAUCUAGAGAUGAAUCAUGUGGCAAUAAUUUAAUCACUAGGUGAACUACGAAUACUUCUACUGUUUUGAAAAUCAGGUGGUAAAUUUAUCAUUGUCCAAUAUAGAAACAUGAAUGCAUACAUAUAGAAAAAUAGGCGAAUGCUAGCAAUAGGAAAAAUAGGCGAAUGCUAGCAAUAGGAAAAAUAGGCGAAUGCUAGCAAUAGGAGCAAAAAAGAGGAGAGGCAAAAUGAUGUGGACAGAAGUGGAAAAACUGAUUUAGCGCCAACAGCUCACAGAAUGUUUAAAUUGAAAAAGAAUAGUACAAUUGCAACUAGUCUGAUACUAGGAUUUAGUUAAAUUUUUUACUUAAACGUUGGAGACUUAGAUACACUGAAGAGCUUUUGCUAAUAUAAGUUGAUAAGAGGCAGUAGCAAACUUCACCUUAGAGAAGAAACAAGUAGAGGUAAGAUUACGUUGUUUUCCUAUUCUUCCUAAAAGAACAAUGAGAUAAUUUGUAAUACUUUGUCAUGGUCCAAACUAUACCUAUUAUUCUUUGGUUGCGCGUAGCUGCACAUAUUUGCCUACUACAUAAUGAAGGUGAAAAGGAGGUUACCAAAUCUUUUACUGUUACAACCUUAUAGAAUUGUUAAUGGCAUCUUAAAAACUUAACAAAAGGCAUUCUUCUCAAUGCCAUUCAUUAUUUUUAAUUUUUAAUGUUCAUAAAAUUCCUCAGAGGCAUGUCUCUAGCAUGUAUUUUGCAAGGACACAUAUUGUACACACCCCAAUACAAAUCCUAAAAGGAAAAUCUGAACUUGAUUUCCUGCAAAUCUUAGGCAUAGCUUGAGCAUGAAAAUCAAACACAUUUUGGACACUACCAGUUAUAGUUACA
This 1291-nucleotide unclassified non-coding RNA is filed under the name Hevea brasiliensis (rubber tree). The record is from RNAcentral. Lineage: Eukaryota; Viridiplantae; Streptophyta; Magnoliopsida; Malpighiales; Euphorbiaceae.